RNAcentral lists this ribosomal RNA (253 nucleotides) under uncultured bacterium. RNAcentral describes it as "partial 16S ribosomal RNA". It matches the Rfam family "Bacterial small subunit ribosomal RNA", at positions 524 to 776 of the family's 1533-position model. The record is from RNAcentral.
UACGUAGGGUGCGAGCGGUAAUCGGAAUUACUGGGCGUAAAGCGUGCGCAGGCGGUCCGCUAAGACAGGUGUGAAAUCCCUGGGCUCAACCUAGGAAUUGCGCUUGUGACUGGCGGGCUAGAGUAAGGUAGAGGGGGGUGGAAUUCCUGGUGUAGCAGUGAAAUGCGUAGAGAACAGGAGGAACACCGAUGGCGAAGGCAGCCACCUGGGCCUGUACUGACGCUCAGGCACGAAAGCGUGGGGAGCAAACAGG